AAACUCCGCAAUAUGUGAAAACAUGACGGGGUCAUCCCGAGUGCCACCUGCUGAAGGUGGCUUUUGCCUAGUGUAAUGAUCUGAGUGAAUAAGGGGAGGGCAAGUCUGGUGUCAGCCGCCGCGGUAAUACCAGCUCCUCGAGUGGUUGGGACGAUUAUUGGGUCUAAAGCGUCCGUAGCCGGCCGGAAAAGUUCUCCGUUAAACCCAACGAUCCAAUCGUUGGACUGCGGGGAAUACUACUCGGCUUGGGGGCGGGGGAAGUCGGCGGUAGUCCAGGGGUAGGGGCGAAAUCCUAUAAUCCUUGGAGGACCACCAGUGGCGAAGGCGGCCGACCAAAACGCGCCCGACGGUGAGGGACGAAAGCUGGGGGAGCGAACGGG
Molecule: ribosomal RNA, 380 nt
Filed under: uncultured archaeon
Lineage: Archaea
Description: bacterial SSU rRNA
Rfam family: Archaeal small subunit ribosomal RNA
Source: RNAcentral